UAACAUCAAUAAUCAAAAAUAUUUCCUACCCAAAAUCUGUGGUCGUCUAUUUAUCUCUCUUACUUAUCAAACUAAUUUUACACAAACCUUUAUUUUACAGCUUAAAAGAAACCACAACAUCCCAAACAAUCAAAACACCAAAAACUAGAAUUCCAAAAAAGACAAAUCAUUAAUGAUCACCUCUCUUUUUUGUCUAAUCUUAAAAAUAAACUUCAAAACAAAUAUACCAAACCAAUCACUUCAACUAAAAGUCAACGACACAUACAUCGAGUCAGGUAAGCAAAUACAAACUACACGACCAACUAUUUAACAAUUUACAAGCUUACUUUCGCAACGAAAAAGACUGAAGACGACAACCAAGAUCAGUGAAAUUACCUAAACAAAAAAGCAGAGUAAGUUACGAACUCUGAUAAAUACAACUAACAAUGAUUUUUGUUUACAUAUUACCCAUCAAAUAAAAGAAAAACAAACACAACCAAACCAGAAGAUACAAGAAAAAAUCUCGACACACACAAAGGUGACAACAACAUCUCCACCUGCUCACUCCUCUUGUCUUAUAAAAGUAGCUUACAUGCCCAAUGUCAACAAGCCAAUACUAUUGUAUUCUUAUGAGAAAUACAUAAAUUCGUUUAAAGACCAUUAAGGCUCAAAUACUCAGAACUGUCACUCAUUUUAUAGUUAUUUAUAUAAAUCUUCAUGUAUUUGUUUUAAAUGUCCGGUAAGAGCAACACGUUUAAAAAUAAAAAAGAAACAUAUAACAAAUAUAAUAAGGAUAAUAAAAAUUAUAACUUAAUACACAAAACAUACACAACUAAACUUGAGAAAAAAUAUCCAGAAACAAAAGGUACUCUCAACAACUUUAAUAUAAUUUAUGUAUUCUUAAUAGUACAAGAAACAAAUUAAAAAGACAAACAAACAAUAAGUCUCAAUGACACAUCAAACAACACCACGAACUAUAUCAAUCACAUUACUAACACAGUUUAGUACUUCA
Molecule: long non-coding RNA, 991 nt
Filed under: Brassica napus (rape)
Lineage: Eukaryota; Viridiplantae; Streptophyta; Magnoliopsida; Brassicales; Brassicaceae
Description: long non-coding RNA (BNAP_LNC012681)
Source: RNAcentral